Molecule: long non-coding RNA, 458 nt
Organism: Tupaia belangeri chinensis (Chinese tree shrew)
Lineage: Eukaryota; Metazoa; Chordata; Mammalia; Scandentia; Tupaiidae
Exons: 4
Source: RefSeq, a predicted model, not a curated record
CAACCAGUUUGGCGGGAGGUUGGAAUCCCCAAGAGGAAGGCUCUGCCCAAGAAGUCCCUAUGGCUCUGCAGAAUCCUACGUUCUAGGUCUCUGGUCAACAAAAUACUAGCACAAAUACGAAAGGAUAUGCCCAAGAGCAUGUUCAUCACAAGAUUGCUUGUCUGGGUAAAAAUAGAAAGCAAACCACAAAACACGCCCAGCAUGCUGCCGAAGGAAUCUAGACCCAACUGGAACAUGGUCCAUGGUACAUUAUUGUGGGAAAAAGCAAGCUGCAGAAUUGAAGACACAAAUAAACAAGAAAUUGAAAAGGGUCAAAUGGAACAAGCAGAGGAAGUUGAGAUCAGUAUGACACAUCCCUACAGCAGGACGAUGCUCCAGAUAGGGUCCAAAUCAGGGGGACGAGGGCUGCACAUACACAGAGGAAAGACGACGCAUGUGAGGACACAGAGAAGGAGGAC